RNAcentral lists this ribosomal RNA (1479 nucleotides) under uncultured organism. Its description in RNAcentral is "SSU rRNA". It matches the Rfam family "Bacterial small subunit ribosomal RNA". The record is from RNAcentral.
UGCCUAAUACAUGCAAGUCGAACGAGUUCUGAUUAUUGAAAGGUGCUUGCAUCUUGAUUUAAUUUUGAACGAGUGGCGGACGGGUGAGUAACACGUGGGUAACCUGCCCUUAAGUGGGGGAUAACAUUUGGAAACAGAUGCUAAUACCGCAUAAAUCCAAGAACCGCAUGGUUCUUGGCUGAAAGAUGGCGUAAGCUAUCGCUUUUGGAUGGACCCGCGGCGUAUUAGCUAGUUGGUGAGGUAACGGCUCACCAAGGCAAUGAUACGUAGCCGAACUGAGAGGUUGAUCGGCCACAUUGGGACUGAGACACGGCCCAAACUCCUACGGGAGGCAGCAGUAGGGAAUCUUCCACAAUGGACGCAAGUCUGAUGGAGCAACGCCGCGUGAGUGAAGAAGGCUUUCGGGUCGUAAAACUCUGUUGUUGGAGAAGAAUGGUCGGCAGAGUAACUGUUGUCGGCGUGACGGUAUCCAACCAGAAAGCCACGGCUAACUACGUGCCAGCAGCCGCGGUAAUACGUAGGUGGCAAGCGUUAUCCGGAUUUAUUGGGCGUAAAGCGAGCGCAGGCGGUUUUUUAAGUCUGAUGUGAAAGCCCUCGGCUUAACCGAGGAAGUGCAUCGGAAACUGGGAAACUUGAGUGCAGAAGAGGACAGUGGAACUCCAUGUGUAGCGGUGAAAUGCGUAGAUAUAUGGAAGAACACCAGUGGCGAAGGCGGCUGUCUGGUCUGUAACUGACGCUGAGGCUCGAAAGCAUGGGUAGCGAACAGGAUUAGAUACCCUGGUAGUCCAUGCCGUAAACGAUGAAUGCUAGGUGUUGGAGGGUUUCCGCCCUUCAGUGCCGCAGCUAACGCAUUAAGCAUUCCGCCUGGGGAGUACGACCGCAAGGUUGAAACUCAAAGGAAUUGACGGGGGCCCGCACAAGCGGUGGAGCAUGUGGUUUAAUUCGAAGCAACGCGAAGAACCUUACCAGGUCUUGACAUCUUUUGAUCACCUGAGAGAUCAGGUUUCCCCUUCGGGGGCAAAAUGACAGGUGGUGCAUGGUUGUCGUCAGCUCGUGUCGUGAGAUGUUGGGUUAAGUCCCGCAACGAGCGCAACCCUUAUGACUAGUUGCCAGCAUUUAGUUGGGCACUCUAGUAAGACUGCCGGUGACAAACCGGAGGAAGGUGGGGAUGACGUCAAAUCAUCAUGCCCCUUAUGACCUGGGCUACACACGUGCUACAAUGGAUGGUACAACGAGUUGCGAGACCGCGAGGUCAAGCUAAUCUCUUAAAGCCAUUCUCAGUUCGGACUGUAGGCUGCAACUCGCCUACACGAAGUCGGAAUCGCUAGUAAUCGCGGAUCAGCACGCCGCGGUGAAUACGUUCCCGGGCCUUGUACACACCGCCCGUCACACCAUGAGAGUUUGUAACACCCGAAGCCGGUGGCGUAACCCUUUUAGGGAGCGAGCCGUCUAAGGUGGGACAAAUGAUUAGGGUGAAAU